GUGAGGGAACACUCACAGCAGGUGAUAUGAGAACACUCAGAGAAGGUGAGGGAACACUCGGAGCAGGGGAUAUGAGAACACUCAGAGAAGGUGAUAUGAGGUCUCUCAGAGAAGGUGGGGGAACACUCCGAGAAGGUGAUAUGAGAACACUCAGAGAAGGUGACAUGAGCACACCCAGAGCAGGAGAUAUGAGAACACUCAGAGAAGGUGAUAUGAGAACACUCAGAGCAGGUGAGGGAACACUCAGAGCAGGUGAGGGAACACUCAGAGCAGGUGAGGGUACACUCAUAGCAGGUGCUAUGAGAACACUCAGAGAAGGUGAGGGAACACUCGGAGCAGGGGAUAUGAGAACACUCAGAGAAGGUGAGGGAACACUCGGAGCAGGGGAUAUGAGAACACUCAGAGAAGGUGAGGGAACACUCGGAGCAGGGGAUAUGAGAACACUCAGAGCAGGUGAUAUGAGAACACUCAGAGAAGAUGAUUUGAGAACACUAAGAGCAGGUGAUAUGAGAACACUCAGAGAAGAUGAUUUGAGAACACUCAGAGAAGGUGACAUGAGCACACCCAGAGCAGGGGAGGGAACACUCAGAGAAGGUGAGGGAACACUCAGCUAAGGUUAUAUGAGAACACCCUGAGCAGGAGAUAUGAGAACACUCAGAGAAGGUGAUAUGAGAACACUCAGAGAAGGUGAUAUGAGAACACUCAGAGCAGGUAAGGGAACACUCAGAGCAGGUGAGGGAACACUCAGAGCAGGUGAGGGUACACUCAGAGCAGGUGAUAUGAGAACACUGAGAGCAGGUGAGGGAACACUCAGAGCAGGUGAUAUGAGAACACUCAGAGCAGGUGAGGGAACAUUCGGAGCAGGUGAGGGUACACUCAUAGCAGGUGCUAUGAGAACACUCAGAGAAGGUGAGGGAACACUCGGAGCAGGGGAUAUGAGAACACUCAGAGAAGGUGAUAUGAGAACACUCAGAGAAGGUGGGGGAACACUCAGAGAUGGUGAUAUGAGAACACUCAGAGAAGGUGAUAUGAGAACACUCAGAGAAGGUGAUAUGAGAACACUCAGAGAAGGUGAUAUGAGAACACUCAGAGCAGGUGAUAUGAGAACACUCAGAGAAUGUGGGGGAACACUCAGAGAAGGUGAUAUGAGAACACUCAGAGAAGGUGGGGGAACACUAAGACCAGGUGAUAUGAGAACACUCAGAGCAGGUGAUAUGAGAACACUCAGAGAAGGUAUAUGAGAACAAUCAGAGCAGGUGAUAUGAGAACACUCAGAGCAGGUGAUAUGAGAACACUCAGAGAAGGUAUAUGAGAACACUCAGAGAAGGUAUAUGAGAACAAUCAGAGCAGGUGAUAUAAGAACACUCAGAGAAGAUGAUUUGAGAACACUCAGAGCAGGUGAGGGAACACUCAGAGCAGGUGAGGGAACACUCAGAGCAGGUGAGGGUACACUCAUAGCAGGUGCUAUGAGAACACUCAGAGAAGGUGAGGGAACACUCGGAGCAGGGGAUAUGAGAACACUCAGAGAAGGUGAGGGAACACUCGGAGCAGGGGAUAUGAGAACACUCAGAGAAGGUGAUAUGAGG
This 1586-nucleotide long non-coding RNA is filed under the name Salmo salar (Atlantic salmon). RNAcentral's name for it is "lncRNA (ENSSSAG00000111195.1)". Lineage: Eukaryota; Metazoa; Chordata; Actinopteri; Salmoniformes; Salmonidae. The record is from RNAcentral.